CUUGCGGAGGUCGGCGCGGGUGAUGGCCUGCUUCUGCACCACCGGCCCGGCGCCCUGCUCCUCCAGCUUGCGGAUGACAGCGGCCAGGGAGGUGAACUAUGUUGACAGACUUGCAGAUGAAUAUGCAGCCCAGUAUACGAAUACAUCUCCCAUCUGUGUGGCAAUGAAACAGCUACAUAUAACUCAACAAAGGAGACAUUGAUUUAGUAAAGUGAGGAUGUAUCCAUCAGCACUAAGUUGCAGCUGUUCUUAAUGGAUUUUAAAACACAAAAGCUAUUUCACCUCUUAGAUUGUCAUAUUAUGAAAUGUUAGUAAUACUUGCACAUAUCAAAGCACCAGCUACCACCCAAACCUUGUGAAACGUGAAGGAAGCAUCAAGCCAGCCCCCUUGUGAAGCUCCCUGGUGCCAACCAAAAGCCUAUUUUCCCAGUAUGCUUCUAUUUUAUUUCUUUUUUCCCCACUGAUAUAUUUUGCUGUUACUCACUGCUUGCUUUAUUUUUUCUGCUUUUUUUCUUUUUUUUUUUUCUAAAGCAAUAUUUUUGUUGCUGAGGCCAUGAUUUGUUUCCUGAUUGCUUUGUUUUCAAAAUAAACCAGAGAAAACGCGA
This is a long non-coding RNA of Parus major (Great Tit), 605 nucleotides long. RefSeq lists it as uncharacterized. The transcript has 3 exons. Lineage: Eukaryota; Metazoa; Chordata; Aves; Passeriformes; Paridae. The record is from RefSeq and is a predicted model, not a curated record.